UCUGUUGGCUCUGAAACAGGAGUUAUGACUCCUUUAUUAGUCAUGUUGUCCAGUUCAGCUUUUACACGAUCCUGCAUUGCCAAGGGGAUGCGGUGUGCUGGGCGAACAACUGGCUGAACAGCUGGAUCCAAUGUCAUCGAGUAGGUGGUUGGCAGUUCUCCUAGUUCAUCACUGAACACAUCCCUGUAAUGUUCUUUGAUAUGUUCUACAAAGUCCAAUUUGGUCUCUGUGCUGAUCUGAUGAACAUGAGGACUCAAAGUAACCAGUCCAAGACGCAAACAUGCACGAAAUCCCAAUAGUGGUGUGACGUCACGGUCAACCAGGAAGAAAGGUAGUGUGUGUUGCUCUCCAUUUAGAUAGCAAGGCAGUGUGACAGAACCUGCAGUUUCUAUUUUGCUGCCUCCGUAUGCCAUUAGUUUGUGGUCUUGCCAGGUGGUGAGAUGGUCGCGCCUGACAACUGCUGGCACUCAGGGUCUUCUCUGGACUCGGCUGGGACCAGAACGGCUCCAUUGUCUCCUGGCGCCCUAACUUCUGCCGCGUAGACAAAUGAACGCUCCCGCUCGAUGGCUUCUGCUCCUGCGAGAUUGAGGAGGAUAUAUGCCUUUGUCUUGGGAGGCUUGUCGGCGUGAGCAGCUUCGAUGAAGAUAUCAUACUCCCUGUCGAACACGUGCCAACUCUCAGCGACGUCUCCUUCAAAAACGAGCGGGUCCGGUCGGCGAAAUCCCUCUGCCAUGGCUCGUUAGCAACCGCUUUAAGUCGAUGUCCAACGCUCGACAAAAAACUUGCUGGAAAAUGCAAAAAAAAAAAAAACUCACAACAGGCAGGUCUGAAGAUCUUCUGACACCAUGUUGAAAUGAGUAUAUGAGGUUGUUUUGCAGUCAACAGAAGCUUUAUUUGAACUCAGGGCAGCAGCAUUACACUGUGAUCCACUGGGAUAAGGUAAGUAGAGCACUGGUAAGUACGGCAAGUGACUUAGGACACAUCUGAGAUGCAUUCAUCUGAAUGAUCUACAGUAACAAACACACAACUAUGCAGCGAUUUUUGAAAAGAAAAAACUGCAAUUUCAACAGGUCUGUGUGGCCUGAAUCAUAGCCAUGUUAGUAAGGUUUUUAACAAACCAAACCGUUUGUAAAUCUGUCAAGAAUUCAGCAAGUUAAGUGUAUUUUUGUUUGUGUAGUCGCUCACCUUCCAUCCACUACUAUAGAGCGCUCCAGAACAGUCCCCCUCGGUAAGAUGGCCGACCGGUGACGACGGCGGUGAAAGUCCCAUCAGCCAUCUAGCCUUUCUAUGUAUUCACCUUAUUUUGCAGCUUCACCAGGGCGGCGCCACAUUACAGCAUUUUGUCCUGUGAUUUCCACUUCAGACCGGAGGUGCAGUUGUCAACAAAAGGAACGAGCGGUGUAAGCUAACCAGCUAGCGAUUUUAUUUCAUCAAGAUGUCGAGGCUGCCAUAAUAACUGGGCCAAGAGGAGAGAGUUUUUGAAACAAACCUGUUUUGAACAUCAUGUGGAGAGAUGGGAGUGUUGUGGGGCUCCUUAUAAUCUACAUCCAAAGAUGAGGAGCACAUGCGGCUGUGGCUGAAAGCGCUAAACCUUAAGUGCCCACCGAAGCGCCCUUAUGUAUGUUUGUUUCAUUUUGUGGACAGAGAGCCGACAGAGGAGCACCCUUACCCCGAGAAAUGGCUCGGCUAUGAUGCUCCAGUAAAGAAGCCACGGCGGGCUUUGAAGAGGUUGUCAGAUACGGAUAUGACAGUCAGCGUCAAAGACGUUGUGAUGUGGAACCUCAGUGGGAGGAUCUGUCUGUCUCUGAACACAGCUAUGCAGCAAGAUCAUCACUCCAUCUGAAGCCCUGACAUCUGACAUCUUUACAGUAUAAUUUUAAUAAACCUAAACAUUUCUGA
Molecule: long non-coding RNA, 1899 nt
Organism: Acanthochromis polyacanthus (spiny chromis)
Lineage: Eukaryota; Metazoa; Chordata; Actinopteri; Pomacentridae
Exons: 3
Source: RefSeq, a predicted model, not a curated record